UACGGAGGAUCCGAGCGUUAUCCGGAUUUAUUGGGUUUAAAGGGUGCGCAGGCGGGAGAUUAAGUCGGCGGUGAAAUUUUGCAGCUCAACUGUAAAAGUGCCUUCGAAACUGGUUUCCUUGAGUGUGGAUGAAGUAGGCGGAAUUUGUGGUGUAGCGGUGAAAUGCUUAGAUAUCACGAGGAACUCCGAUUGCGCAGGCAGCUUACUAAACCACUACUGACGCUCAGGCACGAAGGCGUGGGGAGUCAAACAGGAUUAGAUACCCAGGUAGUCCCU
Molecule: ribosomal RNA, 276 nt
Filed under: uncultured prokaryote
Description: partial 16S ribosomal RNA
Rfam family: Bacterial small subunit ribosomal RNA
Source: RNAcentral